Molecule: long non-coding RNA, 745 nt
Filed under: Capsella rubella
Lineage: Eukaryota; Viridiplantae; Streptophyta; Magnoliopsida; Brassicales; Brassicaceae
Description: long non-coding RNA (CRUB_LNC005212)
Source: RNAcentral
CUUUGAUUAUCUAUAUACGUUUCCUUUACGAUGGAAGAAGAGAAUGUUGAAUAUGUUUUCUCCAUCUUGUGUUGGCAUAUACGCCCUAUGAUUUUAUUGCAAUUUCAUGUGAAGUCAUUUAUUGUGGGGGUCAUCUUCUUGCCUUUCUUUUCCGGGGUGAGUCACAUGGGAGCUUAUGUUGUUGCCUCAAGGCACCAAAACAACAUCAUGACAAUGAUGAUGACGAUGUCGACAUCAUAGUUGCCCCCACACAACCAUCCAAAUACAGCUCAUCGAAUUAUUGAUUCCACCGACUCUUGGACAAUUCCAAGGUACCCUCCUCACUCAUUGAUCUUUUGUGUGAACCCAAAUCACUGAAAUCAUUUUUGCAACUCUUUUCAUGGAUGUUGUGGAUUAAUCAAAGAUAACAUCAGCAAUUGUAAUAAUAUGAUGAAGGAACUCAUAAACAGUCUGAUAAUUGAUGGUACACAUAGAGAUAUACAUACAAGAACAUAGGGAAACAGAUGGUUACAUUAACAAUGCAACAUUCUAAACAUGAGAAACCAAAUCACACAAACUUCAUUAACAAAUACAAUAAAAUAAUAGAGUUAAAACAAAAGAAUGAUCAAAAGAUGAAACCAGAUGCCAAUGCAACAACAGAUGCAAACAAUGCUGGUACAAACAUAGCGGCAUCAGAGGUUGGGCUUGGAGCCGGAGCUUCCACGGUGGUGGCUGCCGCAGCAGAAAAAGCCAUCGCAACAACCAU